Molecule: ribosomal RNA, 254 nt
Filed under: uncultured bacterium
Lineage: Bacteria
Description: partial 16S ribosomal RNA
Rfam family: Bacterial small subunit ribosomal RNA
Source: RNAcentral
UACGUAGGGCGCAAGCGUUAUCCGGAAUUAUUGGGCGUAAAGAGCUCGUAGGCGGUUUGUCGCGUCUGCCGUGAAAGUCCGGGGCUCAACUCCGGAUCUGCGGUGGGUACGGGCAGACUAGAGUGAUGUAGGGGAGACUGGAAUUCCUGGUGUAGCGGUGAAAUGCGCAGAUAUCAGGGAGGAACACCGAUGGCGAAGGCAGGUCUCUGGGCAUUAACUGACGCUGAGGAGCGAAAGCCAGGGGAGCAAACAGG